GUGGGGAAUAUUGGACAAUGGGCGCAAGCCUGAUCCAGCCAUGCCGCGUGAGUGAUGAAGGCCCUAGGGUUGUAAAGCUCUUUCACCGGUGAAGAUAAUGACGGUAACCGGAGAAGAAGCCCCGGCUAACUUCGUGCCAGCAGCCGCGGUAAUACGAAGGGGGCUAGCGUUGUUCGGAAUUACUGGGCGUAAAGCGCACGUAGGCGGACAUUUAAGUCAGGGGUGAAAUCCCGGGGCUCAACCCCGGAACUGCCUUUGAUACUGGGUGUCUGGAGUAUGGAAGAGGUAAGUGGAAUUCCGAGUGUAGAGGUGAAAUUCGUAGAUAUUCGGAGGAACACCAGUGGCGAAGGCGGCUUACUGGUCCAUUACUGACGCUGAGGUGCGAAAGCGUGGGGAGCAAACAGGAUUAGAAACCCGGGUAGUCC
This 425-nucleotide ribosomal RNA is filed under the name uncultured bacterium. RNAcentral describes it as "bacterial SSU rRNA". It matches the Rfam family "Bacterial small subunit ribosomal RNA", at positions 354 to 796 of the family's 1533-position model. The record is from RNAcentral.